GGCGAGCCGCUCUUCGACCACUUCGGGUCUCUUUAUUUACGCCUCGGUAGAACGACGCACUCCAUCAAUGCUCGGCCGCGGCUCCGCUCAUCUCUAUCGCGUGCGUCCAGGUUUUCCAAUGUAGAGGAAUUAGUUGGAGGCAGCAACUGUAUAAUUUGCAAGAAGAUCUAAGGUGAUAUACCUAUGAUUUUCUUGCAAGUUAUGCAAUUGCUGCCUCAAGCUCGUCGUUUCCCUUUGCCAGGCCUGUAGAUCAGUAAAUUAAACUUAAAUGCCACGGUAUGAUUUCUUUUUGACGAAUACAUUAAUUAGCAGAAGAAUAUAUAUUUCAGUUGAAUACUACAUGUUGCAGCCCGAAAAGAAUCAUUCUUCUUUAGUGGGUUUCUCUAGAAAAAGUUAAAGAAUCAUAUUACAUGAAACAAUAUAACUCCAUUUAUUUACUACUUGACUUGGAUCAAUGUUAAAAAAAGGAAAUGUCCAUGAAUUGGAAUGCCAAAAAGGAUAAUACAUGCUAAAGAAUUGCUUAAUUUUUGUUUUUUUUUUGUUUUUAUGAAUCUCACUUCAAACUGAAUGAAUUUUGUUUUCGCGCUUUGGUAAAUUGCAUGUAUUUAUGUGCAUGCAAUUCUAUCAGAACUCAACCUUUGCGCUUGAUACAAUUAAGCAGCUAUAUAUCUUAUGUGGUGCUAUAUAUUCAUGAGAUACACCAAUAAUUGAAUACACUAUCAAUCUACUAUGGUUAAUUUUACUAAGUUUUCUCACAACAAUUAUGAGGAAUAAUUGAAUAAUUUGACAUAAAUUUUCUUAUUUUUCUAUAAAACAUUUUCUAAGACAGAAAAACUGAAUUUUCCUGAAACAAAAGUUUUGCUCGCGCGUUGAUAGUAAAUAUUGUGAUUUUCAUCCCGUAAAAUGACUUACAAAUCAGCUUGCAGGAUCAGACCAUUUAUUCAUCCAAAACAAAAAUACCUUCACUUCCGCAGACGAAGACGUAAUCAAAUGUUGUUCCUCUUUUGAUGCGGUGUAUCGGUCGAUCACAGAUUUCAUGCUGAUAUAUUCAGAAGUAACCCAAAAUAAAAAAUUAGAAUGAACAUAAUUUAUUUACUGACCAAGAUCUGCAAGAUAAAAUUUUUCAGUGAGUUACUACGUUAGGGAUGUCAUAGAUCAUGAUUCAUUAGCCACAUGAUUACUUGCAUAAAAGAGCUGCUCUAACUGGUAAGGAGAAAAAGAGUGAGGAGAAGAUGGGGAAGAACCUGGUGUUUGAGAACUCAUAGAGCCGGCCGGUGCUGGAGAAGACAGCGACACCAACCUGGGCGUCGCAGAGGAUGGCGAGCUCCUUAGCCUUCUUCAGCAAUCCGUUCCUCCUCUUCGAGAAGGUCACCUGUCGGCUCGUCGCGUCGUCGAUCCUUCGGAUCACUAUCUUCCCUCUUCCCAUGAUCUGCAGAACACACCUGAUCCGGCAAUGAAACUACGGAAAAGCCGAUGGAAAAAAGCAGACUCCUCGAUCGUUCAGAUCUGGGGAGAAGGGCAACGAGAGAUUGAGGUGAUCGAAACCCUAGUAGUAGAAGUCAGAAGCGUCGGCGACUCGAUCGCGUACCUGAUGUUUAUCGAUCGGUUAACACUCAGCGAGCCCUGGCUAUGCGGUCAAUGGGCUUGAUCAAUCGACGAGGGGCAUGGAAAAGUGGAGGCGGGGGCUUCUGCUCUUCCACCUCUCGAGCUAAAUGUUCGACCGCUUGGGGAAUUUGUUUAUUCGUGAACUUUUUAUUUUUGCUAAUUUUAAGAGUUUAAGGAGCAUUUUGAAAACAGCGAAUAAACCCUGGAGUUCAAUGAAA
Zingiber officinale is the source of this 1823-nucleotide long non-coding RNA. RefSeq lists it as uncharacterized. NCBI's taxonomy places the organism in Eukaryota, Viridiplantae, Streptophyta, Magnoliopsida, Zingiberales, Zingiberaceae. The record is from RefSeq and is a predicted model, not a curated record. The transcript has 3 exons.